RNAcentral lists this ribosomal RNA (305 nucleotides) under uncultured bacterium. RNAcentral describes it as "bacterial SSU rRNA". It matches the Rfam family "Bacterial small subunit ribosomal RNA", at positions 333 to 655 of the family's 1533-position model. The record is from RNAcentral.
UUCGUCCUACGGGGCGCAGCAGUGGGGAAUAUUGCACAAUGGGGGGAACCCUGAUGCAGCGACGCCGCGUGGGUGAAGGAGUACUUCGGUACGUAAAGCCCUAUCAGCAGGAAAGAAAAUGACGGUACCUGACUAAGAAGCCCCGGCUAACUACGUGCCAGCAGCCGCGGUAAUACGUAGGGGGCAAGCGUUAUACGGAUUUACUGGGUGUAACGGGAGCGUAGACGGCAGGGCAAGUCGGGAGUGAAAGCCCGGGGCUCAACCAUGGGACUGCUCUGGAAACAGUAAAGCUGGAGGGCGGGAGG